GGCCAGGUAAUGUUGAAACACCGUUUCUCGUACGAUCACUCAUGUUAAGCAACGUCAAGAUUGGUCAGUACUUAGAAGGGUGACCGAUUGGGAAUACCAGGUGCUGUAAG
This is a non-coding RNA of Acanthosepion pharaonis, 110 nucleotides long. The record is from the annotation of a GenBank genome assembly. Lineage: Eukaryota; Metazoa; Mollusca; Cephalopoda; Sepiida; Sepiidae.